CCUACGUGAGUAAAGUGGCGUACGGGUGAGUAACACGUGGAUUAUCUACCUUCUAGUGGGGGAUAACCCUGGGAAACCGGGGCUAAUACCGCAUAAGCUCGAGAGAGGAAAGCAGCAAUGCGCUGGAAGAGGAGUCCGCGGCCGAUUAGCUAGUUGGUAGGGUAAAAGCCUACCAAGGCAACGAUCGGUAGCCGGCCUGAGAGGGCACACGGCCACACUGGCACUGAAACACGGGCCAG
Molecule: ribosomal RNA, 239 nt
Filed under: uncultured bacterium
Lineage: Bacteria
Description: partial 16S ribosomal RNA
Rfam family: Bacterial small subunit ribosomal RNA
Source: RNAcentral